Triticum aestivum (bread wheat) is the source of this 135-nucleotide non-coding RNA. NCBI's taxonomy places the organism in Eukaryota, Viridiplantae, Streptophyta, Magnoliopsida, Poales, Poaceae. The record is from Rfam.
AAAGUACUCCCUCCAUCCCAAAAUUCUUGUCUUAGAUUUGUCUAGAUACGGAUGUAUCAAGUCACAUUUUAGUAUUAGAUACAUCCAUAUCUAGACAAAUCUAAGACAAGAAAUUUGGGACAAAGGGAGUAGUUG